This 380-nucleotide ribosomal RNA is filed under the name uncultured cyanobacterium. RNAcentral describes it as "bacterial SSU rRNA". It matches the Rfam family "Bacterial small subunit ribosomal RNA", at positions 376 to 770 of the family's 1533-position model. Lineage: Bacteria; Bacillati; Cyanobacteriota. The record is from RNAcentral.
CGAAAGCCUGACGGAGCAAUACCGCGUGAGGGAGGAAGGCUUUUGGGUUGUAAACCUCUUUUGUUAAGGAAGAAGAACGUGACGGUACUUAACGAAUCAGCAUCGGCUAACUCCGUGCCAGCAGCCGCGGUAAUACGGAGGAUGCAAGCGUUAUCCGGAAUCAUUGGGCGUAAAGAGUCUGUAGGUGGCACUUCAAGUCUGCUGUCAAAGACCGAAGCUUAACUUCUGAAAGGCAGUGGAAACUGGAGAGCUAGAGUACGGUAGGGGUUGAGGGAAUUCCCAGUGUAGCGGUGAAAUGCGUAGAUAUUGGGAAGAACACCAGUGGCGAAGGCGCUCAACUGGGCCGUAACUGACACUCAGGGACGAAAGCUAGGGGAGCG